This is a long non-coding RNA of Antechinus flavipes (yellow-footed antechinus), 787 nucleotides long. RefSeq lists it as uncharacterized. Lineage: Eukaryota; Metazoa; Chordata; Mammalia; Dasyuromorphia; Dasyuridae. The transcript has 4 exons. The record is from RefSeq and is a predicted model, not a curated record.
CCAAGAAGGGGGCGGGGGCGAGGGCGGGGGCGGAGGCGGAGAAUCAUCUUCAGGAAAAGCUUCCAACUUCAGCGGCUGCCAAGUUUCCAAAGCCAGACGGCAAAUCUGUUUUGAAACUGAAGAAGAGAUUGAAGUGGAGAAAAGACUUAAGGCAGAGAGAUUAUUGAAAGUCAAUGGCAAUCAAAAGGCUUGUCGAGAUGUUGCCCCUGGUGCGGAUGGCCCUGAGCAGGCUCUCACUUCGCAGAAUCCAGCGAGUUGCCACAAGUCGAAACUUCCAGACGAAGAAAUCCGAUUUCGAUGAUAAAUAUGGCCUGCCUAUCUUUGUAGGCGGAAGCCUUUUCUGCAUUGUUACCUGGGUGUACACGCUGAAACACUAUGACCUUGAGCAUUACGUGUCCCCCGUGGGGCGAGUCAGGCCGAAGAACUGGAAGAAGGAGUGAAGAAGGGCCGUCCUCCUACUUGAGCCGGGCUGGUGGCAUUCCGAGUUUAUUCCCGAAUUUACUUUGACUUAAACCAAGUAAAGGCAACCUGUUAUCAGCUGUAAUGCGAAGUUAUUAACGUGAUAAAUACAUUUGAAACAUAUAUACAUAUUUAGGUAAUUUAGGGAAAGUGAAGAAAAAUGUUUAUGGAACAGUUUGAAUGCACCGCCUUGUGCAAGAAGAUUUUAUUGGAAGAAAAACAUCUGGAGCACAAAAGGCAUAUAUGCAUAUAGUUCUCUUAAAAUAUUAAAAAUGCUUCAACAUAGUUUUAAUAUUUGAACAUCAGAAUAAAGUUGCUUAGUAAAGUU